Rhododendron vialii is the source of this 129-nucleotide small nucleolar RNA. RefSeq annotates it as small nucleolar RNA snoR74. The record is from RefSeq and is a predicted model, not a curated record. The transcript has a single exon. NCBI's taxonomy places the organism in Eukaryota, Viridiplantae, Streptophyta, Magnoliopsida, Ericales, Ericaceae.
AAAAAAGCAGGAUCCAUUGCCUUUUGUGGAUGGGUCUCUCGUUGACUUCAGGGAAAUUAUUACAUUAUCAUUGGGUGAACCUCUGUAAGCAUGUUAGUGGCAAAAGGUUCAAUAGAUAAUGACACAUUU